Molecule: transfer RNA, 158 nt
Filed under: Linaeidea sp. HS-23
Lineage: Eukaryota; Metazoa; Arthropoda; Insecta; Coleoptera; Chrysomelidae
Description: partial tRNA-Leu
Source: RNAcentral
UGUAAGCCAGGUUGGUUUCUAUCUUUAAUUUAUUUAGAUAUCUUAGUACGAAAGGAUUGGAUAUUAAAUUAAAAAUUUAUUUUUUUGAAUAAUAUGUUAUUUUGGCAGAAUAGUGCAAUAGAUUUAGAAUCUUUUUAUGUAAUUUAUAUUACAGAUAA